RNAcentral lists this ribosomal RNA (446 nucleotides) under Gemmula diomedea. RNAcentral describes it as "partial small subunit ribosomal RNA". It matches the Rfam family "Microsporidia small subunit ribosomal RNA", at positions 752 to 1304 of the family's 1311-position model. Lineage: Eukaryota; Metazoa; Mollusca; Gastropoda; Neogastropoda; Turridae. The record is from RNAcentral.
UCCUGGAUGUAAAUAAAAUUUAAAUUUACCAGAGUACUAUGAAUAUAUAAAAUUUAAAACUCAAAGGACUUGGCGGUAUUUUAGACCAUUUAGGGGAACCUGUCUCAUAAUCGAUAGUCCACGCUACACCUAACCUUUUUUUGCUUUCAGCUUGUAUAUCGUUGUCGUCAGGUAACUUUUUAGAAAUUAGAAGUUAGCUAAAAACAGUAAAUUUAAACGUCAAAUCAAGGUGCAGUUAAUAAAAAGGUGAGGAUGGGUUACAAUUAUUUCAAUUAUAAUUACGGAAAAUCGUAAGAAUUGACGAUUCUAAGGAGGACUUAAAAGUAAAUUAGAUUAUAUAAAUAAUUUGAAUAAGGCUCUGAAAUGUGCACACAUCGCCCGUCGCUCUUGUUGGAAAAUAAGAUAAGUCGUAACAUAGUAGGGGUAAUGGAAAUUGCCCCUAAACU